RNAcentral lists this ribosomal RNA (465 nucleotides) under Vreelandella stevensii. RNAcentral describes it as "partial 16S ribosomal RNA". It matches the Rfam family "Bacterial small subunit ribosomal RNA", at positions 338 to 795 of the family's 1533-position model. The record is from RNAcentral. Lineage: Bacteria; Pseudomonadati; Pseudomonadota; Gammaproteobacteria; Oceanospirillales; Halomonadaceae.
CCUACGGGGUGCUGCAGUGGGGAAUAUUGGACAAUGGGCGAAAGCCUGAUCCAGCCAUGCCGCGUGUAUGAAGAAGGCCUUCGGGUUGUAAAGCACUUUCAGUGGGGAAGAAAGCCUUGGGGCUAAUACCCUCGAGGAAGGACAUCACCCACAGAAGAAGCACCGGCUAACUCCGUGCCAGCAGCCGCGGUAAUACGGAGGGUGCGAGCGUUAAUCGGAAUUACUGGGCGUAAAGCGCGCGUAGGCGGUCUGAUAAGCCGGUUGUGAAAGCCCCGGGCUCAACCUGGGAACGGCAUCCGGAACUGUCAGGCUAGAGUGCAGGAGAGGAAGGUAGAAUUCCCGGUGUAGCGGUGAAAUGCGUAGAGAUCGGGAGGAAUACCAGUGGCGAAGGCGGCCUUCUGGACUGACACUGACGCUGAGGUGCGAAAGCGUGGGUAGCAAACAGGAUUAGAUACCCUAGUAGUC